UGUGUAUCAGUGGGGCCAUAUACUCAUACUUAUAUCUCCAAAAUAAAAGUUGGUACUCUUGGAUAACCAAUGGCCUUAUUAGUGGUGUUUAUGCAUUUGGAUUUCUGUCGAUGGUUCCUCAGUUGU
Long non-coding RNA from Sinocyclocheilus anshuiensis, 126 nucleotides. RefSeq lists it as uncharacterized. The transcript has 3 exons. The record is from RefSeq and is a predicted model, not a curated record. NCBI's taxonomy places the organism in Eukaryota, Metazoa, Chordata, Actinopteri, Cypriniformes, Cyprinidae.